UAUACAACUUUCAGCAACGGAUCUCUUGGCUCUCGCAUCGAUGAAGAACGCAGCGAAAUGUGAUAAGUAAUGUGAAUUGCAGAAUUCAGUGAAUCAUCGAAUCUUUGAACGCACCUUGCGCUCCUUGGUAUUCCGAGGAGCAUGCCUGUUUGAGUGUCAUUAAAUUCUCA
This 170-nucleotide ribosomal RNA is filed under the name Laccaria sp. RNAcentral's name for it is "5.8S ribosomal RNA". It matches the Rfam family "5.8S ribosomal RNA". From Rfam's summary of the family: 5.8S ribosomal RNA (5.8S rRNA) is a component of the large subunit of the eukaryotic ribosome. It is transcribed by RNA polymerase I as part of the 45S precursor that also contains 18S and 28S rRNA. Functionally, it is thought that 5.8S rRNA may be involved in ribosome translocation. Lineage: Eukaryota; Fungi; Basidiomycota; Agaricomycetes; Agaricales; Hydnangiaceae. The record is from RNAcentral.